CACAAUGUUAUACUGGAGAGCAGGAAGAGCUGUGUUGGGUAUAAGUAACAGACUUUUCUUUUUUUCUAUUUUUCUAUGUGGCUCUUUGCA
RNAcentral lists this microRNA precursor (90 nucleotides) under Homo sapiens (human). Its description in RNAcentral is "mir-1270 microRNA precursor family". It matches the Rfam family "mir-1270 microRNA precursor family". Lineage: Eukaryota; Metazoa; Chordata; Mammalia; Primates; Hominidae. The record is from Rfam by way of RNAcentral.